RNAcentral lists this ribosomal RNA (581 nucleotides) under Punctelia appalachensis. Its description in RNAcentral is "eukaryotic LSU rRNA". The stretch from base 212 to 365 matches the Rfam family "5.8S ribosomal RNA". The record is from RNAcentral. Lineage: Eukaryota; Fungi; Ascomycota; Lecanoromycetes; Lecanorales; Parmeliaceae.
AGUGACCUGUCUAAAGGAUCAUUACCGAGAGAGGGGCUUCGCGCUCCCGGGGGUCUCGGCCCCCAACUCUUACCCAUUGUCUACCUACCUUUGUUGCUUUGGCGGACCUCGGGGUACCUCCCGCGCCGACUUUCGGGUCGGUGCGCGUCCGUCAGAGGCCCAUUAAAAUCUCUCAUCAGUGAUGUCCGAGUAUCUAUAUAAAUAUAGUCAAAACUUUCAACAACGGAUCUCUUGGUUCCAGCAUCGAUGAAGAACGCAGCGAAAUGCGAUAAGUAAUGUGAAUUGCAGAAUUCAGUGAAUCAUCGAAUCUUUGAACGCACAUUGCGCCCCUCGGUAUUCCGGGGGGCAUGCCUGUUCGAGCGUCAUUGCACCCCUCAAGCGUUGCUUGGUAUUGGGUUCUCGCCCCCGCGGCGUGCCCGAAAAGCAGUGGCGGUCCGGCGUGACUUCAAGCGUAGUAAAUUCUCUCCCGCUUCGAAAGUUCGCGUCGUGGCCGGCCAGACAACCCCAUUAGCUUCCAUAAUUGACCUCGGAUCAGGUAGGGAUACCCGCUGAACUUAAGCAUAUCAAUAAGNCGGAGGAAA